UGGGGAAUAUUGCACAAUGGGCGCAAGUCUGAUGCAGCCAUGCCGCGUGUAUGAAGAAGGCCUUCGGGUUGUAAAGUACUUUCAGUCGGGAGGAAGGUGGUAAGGUUAAUAACCUUAUCAAUUGACGUUACCGACAGAAGAAGCACCGCCUACCUCCGUGCCAGCAGCCGCGGUAAUACGGAGGGUGCAAGCGUUAAUCGGAAUUACUGGGCGUAAAGCGCACGCAGGCGGUUGAUUGAGUCAGAUGUGAAAUCCCCGGGCUUAACCCGGGAAUUGCAUCUGAUACUGGUCAGCUAGAGUCUUGUAGAGGGGGGUAGAAUUCCAUGUGUAGCGGUGAAAUGCGUAGAGAUGUGGAGGAAUACCGGUGGCGAAGGCGGCCCCCUGGACGAAGACUGACGCUCAGGUGCGAAAGCGUGGGGAGCAAACAGG
Molecule: ribosomal RNA, 429 nt
Filed under: Chloroflexota bacterium
Lineage: Bacteria; Bacillati; Chloroflexota
Description: Chloroflexi bacterium partial 16S ribosomal RNA
Rfam family: Bacterial small subunit ribosomal RNA
Source: RNAcentral